This is an RNA transcript of Aegilops tauschii subsp. strangulata, 6832 nucleotides long. RefSeq lists it as uncharacterized. The record is from RefSeq and is a predicted model, not a curated record. Lineage: Eukaryota; Viridiplantae; Streptophyta; Magnoliopsida; Poales; Poaceae.
CCCUUCUCCCCCUCCCCCAUGGAGCGAGUGAGCAGAAAGAGAGAGGGGAUCCCGACGAUCGAGAGAGAAGAUUCCGGCUCCGUGAGGUGGGCGGCGACCGCGAUGGCACAAUACCCCUUCACCCCCACCCCAGCGCCCCCCUCCCCCAACACUCCUCACUGUCUUCUCCCCCUUUUUGUCGCCGGAUCUGAAGAAGGGCCGCCGGCGUCGACCUACCAUCGUCGCCGAGGUUGGGGGGCGAGGUCGGGUCUCGUUGUCCCUGCAUCGAGCGUGCGCAGCUCCGCCUCGAUUCGGCACCGCGUCGCGGACGAGGAGCCAACGGAGCAGGGGAUGCUUCUGGCAGAGCAGGCCACGGGCGCCGGCGGCGUCAACCCUUGUGACCAGGCAACGGCAAGGGCGCCAAUCCCAUCCAACCAACCUCCGCAUCCAACACGGGGUCGGCAGCGGCGGGGGUGGCGCAGCGCGCAUCGACGACGAUGUGGAGACGCGCGCGGUGGAUUGCUCGAGGGCGUGGAAGUGCACGGUGUGCCUGCCAUCUUAACCUCCCCCGCGCAGCCGUUCCCAUGGCUGGUGGCAGCGGAGCCGAGGAGGGCCACUGCAGAGAGGAGUUCCACCGACGAAAGGAUGGCGUCGCGCGUGUGAGGCGGGCCGGCGCAGUGGAGGCGGGCUCACCACCGGUGCUGUCCUCUAGUUCCUGCGGUCGUCCUGCUUCCCUGGGCUCCCCCGUGCUCACCAGCACGUCCCCAAGAUCCCGUGCCGGAAGGGGGCUGCGGCGGCUAGGUCAUCGAGGCACCGAUGUAAGGGGAGGCGAUAGCCACGGCACGGACGACAGAGCAUGCGACGACGUCUCUGUCGUGGGGGUGGGCCGGCGGGCGGAGGUCACCACCGCUAUCUCCGGGCUGGCUCUCUCCGGGCGCGGGGGCCUCGAGAAGGCGGGGCGCUUCCAGAUGCGGCGGGUGCUAAUGGGCCCGGCUGUGGGCGCGCAGGUGUUUGCCGCGAGUUUUGCAUCCUUCUCGCCGGCGGCCGCUUCCAGAUGCGGCGGAUGCUGAUGCGCCCGGGCAGUGGCAGCUAGUGGUCGAGCCGCACGCUCGAGACGAGCUCCCAUGGCUCGUGGCGCUGCUGUGCGCUGCCGUCUAGCGUAGCACGCGCCCAAGCUGGAGCGAUUCUUAUGCGUCGCUUUUCUAUGGCGAGCUCCACCAUUGCAUGUAUGGGCCAGCACAUACGGUACGUUUGCCAUCUCUCCUAUGGCUUUUCUAGUAUGUCUCUACCAUUUUUGCUUGAUGGUUUGUGCAGUGUGUUGAGGAAUAUGAUGAUUUUUGCUCUUAAUUUUUGAAGAGGCAAGUUAGUUCAGGUGGCACAUUUACCCUCAUCCCGAUGGUAUAGUUGCCAUGGCAAAUUUACCUUUGAGCUAACUAGAGUGUUUGUCAUGUGAAAAAAAGUUACAGAUUUGCCUUGGCUAACUAGAGUGUUGGCCAUGGAAAAAAAAAAUAACCGAUUUGCCAUGACAAAAUUUAGAACAAUUUUGCCAUGGAAAAAUGUUUAACAAUUUUUCCACGGAUAAAAAUAGCACAAAGAAAUGAUGGAAAAUAAUUCCAUGGCAAAAACACAUUCAAAUUUGCCGUGUUAUUUUUUAUCAAAAUGCCAAACCUUUUAGUUUUUAGUUGCCAUGGCAACUCAACUUUUUAGUUUUGCCAUGAUGUGUUGCCGCGGAACUAACAAAAGGUUCGUGUUGCCAUGUAAAUAUAUGAUGUGUUGCCAUGUUUUUUCUUUGCGACAUGGCAAUUUGUUCUAUGAGAGCAUGGCAAAUGUAGUUUAAUAUGUUGUCAUGUUCACGGCGAUUUUUGUGUUGUUUCACAUACACGGCAUCUUAAUACCAAAGAAGAUGUCAAGUCUUGGUUAAACACCAUGGCAAGUUUGAACAUGCUUUUUGCCAUCACAAUUUUUGAUCAUUUUUUGUAUAAUUUCACAUUCGUGGCAACUUUUUUUUACAUAAGCAUGGCAAAUUUGAUUAAAAAACCCACAAAAAAAUUGAAUAUGCAUUUUGCCAUGGCAUUCGAAUAUACAUUUUUUCCAUGGCAAAUUUGACAAUUUCUUGUGUUAUUUCCAUUACAUGGCAAAUUAAUGACACCAAAUAUGGAAAAAUUUGGUAAAAUACCAUGGCAAAUUUGAACAUUCCCUUGCCAAGGCAACUAUUCAUCAUUUUUGUAAUAUUUCACAAUAUUGCAAAUUUAUUUAUAUUAGCAUCGCAAAUUUCAUAAAAAAAUCCAUGGCAUAUUAGAAUAUGCAUUGCCAUGGCAAUUUUUAUCUUCUUUUCGUGUUGUUUCACAUACACGGCAAUUUAAUUACACAAAGAUGGCAAGUUUUGAUAAAAUACCAUGGCCAGUUUUGAACAUGCUUUUGCCAUGACAAUUUUUUAUUAUUUCACAAUCAUGGCAAUUUUGGUAAAAUACCAUGGCAAUUUUGAGCAUGCUUUUACCAUGGCAACUAUUGAUCAUUUUUGUAUUUUUUUCACAUUCAUGGUAAUUUUUUUAUAUUAGCAUGGCAAACUUGAUUACAUAUUCCACGGCAAAUUAGAAUACGCUAUUUGCCAUUGCAUUUUUGAUCUUUCUUUUCGUGUUGUUUUAUAUACACGGCAAUUUAAUUACACAAAGAUGGCAAGUUUUGAUAAAAUACCAUGGAACAUGUUUUUGCCAUGGCAAUUUUUGAUAUCUUUUAUUAUUAUUUCACAAUCAUAGCAAAUAGAUCAUAUAUAAGAAUGGCAAUUUUGACAAAAAUCCCACGGUAAAUUUGUAUAUGCAUUUGCCAUGGCAAUUUUAAUCUUUUUUUGUGUUGUUUGAUUGGCACGGAAAAACAUACACAAAAUUUUUAAUCCAUUUUUUUUCUGCCCCCAUGAUACAGAUGCAAAUUGCCAUGAACUUUUCCUUUUUAGUUCAUUGUUUUAAUAUAAAAAAGAUCUUUUGACCAUGGCAAAUUUUGCUUGUAGGUACGACGACAUUUUUUCGGUUUGAACCAUUGGGAUUUUUUAGUACUAGUUUGUUUGUCACUCUUAUCUGUUAUGGCAAAUUCAUCUUUCCGUUUUAUAGGAUGGUAAAUCUGGGCUUUAUUAUCACAACAAAACUGUGUUUUUAUUUUUUUAUCAUGCCAUGAAAGUCUAUGCAUUUUUUAGUCUAUGUAUCAUGAUAUAUAGAACAUUUUUCAACAAAAUUGCCAUGGCCCAUGGCAAAUAUAGCCUAUGCAUCAUGGAACUUAUACUCUAUGGAUGAUGAUCUAUUGAACAUUUUAGUUCAUGUCAUUUUUCGAAACAUAUUUUCUUUCUUCCAUGACAAUUUAAUAUGUUUUGGUAAACCCUGCCAUUUUUGUAAAAAAUAACAUGAUGGCAAGUCGUAAAUGUAGUGGCAACUUUUCUAGAAAUUCAAAUGGUUUUUUCUACUUUUAAAGUUAUUGGAUGGCAUCGUAGGCUUUUUUGGUCGCAGAAAAAAAAAAUAUGGACUUCUUAUUCUUUACUAAGAUUGUAGGGCCCAAUAUAGAGAAGGCCUGUAGGGCCGAUACGAUGGACGUUCGGGGUGGUGGCAGCGAUCGCACUGCAUGAAAUCGUGCGGGCGGGGAAAGCGAUCGUCCCGAGCGAUUUGUUCGGUCCAGCUGCCUUCCUGCCACACGUGUGGGCAGUUUCAGUGUUCGCCCACACAACGUCGUGUGGGCUGCCUGCGUGUAUGCCACAUAGGGUCGUGUGGACGGGUGAUCAUUAUGCCACACGUGUGGCACUUAUUGGCGUCCUAAAUUUAAGGGUUUACUCCGCUUUAUUAUUUUUGGUCGGUUAAAGUUGUCCUGAGUAACGCGCGCAAUGAGACGAAAGCAAGUCCGUGUCGCCCGCGAAGUCGGACUCCUAUUCCGAAAUUGGUUGGCUUCUGCUUGCCGGCCAAUUACUGCCACAGAUUUUGCUGCUUGCGGAAGCGGAACCAAUGGCAAUAAUGGCCGACGAGUGCAUGGAGCACGCCCUGACCUUCGCCAUCGACAGCAGCACGGCGGCCCAGCACUGGCUCGUCCCGCUUCCAUCCCAGCACCAGGACGCGGCAACAUUGCAGCAGCAGCAGCAGCUUGGAUCCGUCGGAUACGACGCCGACGCGGCAGAGGAGCUCGGCCGAUCGGUCCUGCUCGUCGCGGAGGCCCUCUUCCUCCGCGGCGUCCUCGGUGACGACGAUCUCCUACGGGUCCUGUCGGCCAUGCCCAAUCCCGGCGACGCCUACCGCGACGGCGGUUUCGGAGGAGUCCCUGCGUCAGCAUCGGCGGUGGCCGGCCUGGAGAAGCGUGUUUAUUGUCGCGGGGGAGGCCAGGGCGGUCCUAGCACGACGGACACGGGCUGCGUCAUCUGCUUGGAGGACUUCGUGGCAGGUGACGAGAUCGCGUGAUGCCGUGCUCGCAGAAGCACAGCUUUCACCGGGGUUGCAUCGCCGAGUGGCUGGGACGCAGCAACGCCUGCCCCCUCUGCCGCCACGCCCUGCCCUCCUACUCCUAGCAUAGCAUAGUGACUUAGGGCCACUUCUUUACGGUCCAUUCUAGAGAAUCACGGUCCUAGAAAUCAAAAUCAUAAAAGAACUCGUUUCUUCCCCGUGAAUUAGCGGAGAAUAAUCAGAACCAGUAGUGUAUUUGAGGAGGAUCUGUCCAUGUCACAUCUAGAUAUGACACAGGUAUGUCACAUUUAAGUUGUGACAUCAGCGACACCUCACCAUAAUAGAUGCAAGCCCAUGACUGUCAUUUUGUUUUGUUUGUAUUUUUAUUUGUCAAAUGUCAUGCAUACGUUAAUGUCAUAAUGAGAAAUAUCAUCUAUCUUUCCAUCCUAAGGAGCCAACUCGCAACGCGAGGGAUCGUGAAAACCAGAUCUCGCUCCUGUGCCGUUCCUGAGCGGCACCGGGGCUCCCCACCCUAGCAGCCCUCGGCUCCCCACCUCAUCUCCCCCUCCCCUGCCGCCGCCGGGGUGCGCCACCGGGCAAAGCCCGUGCGGUGCCGGCGGCGGCAGGAUUACUCUCUGGCGGUGGACGGCUCCUUGGCGUUUAGAUUCUGUGUGUGGCUCCUGCACGUGCUGCAUGCAUGCUGCGGCGACCUGACGGCCGAGCAACACAACUCUCCCGCGAUUGCAAGACUCCAUUCCGCUGCAGGGCGUCAUCGUGAGACUUCGGCUCGUCUCUUCCUGUGGCUUGACAACGGCUUGCUCCAGGGCGUGGAGGCAACUAGGUCACGGGAUCCGGUGACUCUGGAUCUGGGAGGUUCACGGAGGCUUGUUUCACAUGGGGUUCCCUGGGAAAAAGGAAACACCACGUGUCGUUGCUCCCACGCGGAUGACCCUAGCGGCUACAUCCGAAACCUAGCGCCACCAUCUAUGUGUCGGCACGGUGGAACCUCUCUGGAGACGGCGGGUGCCGCAGUUGCUCAGAUCCGGCAUGCCCAGUCCCGGCGGUCUGCCACUCGUCCGGGGCGCGGCGCACGGCUGCGGCUGCCCGCCGUUUGCUGGCGGCAGUGACUUAACACUGGGCGCUCAGAUUAGUCAUGCUACAACGACAUUUUGCGGCUCACGACGGGCAGGGUCAAUGAAAGGUCUUCGGAGAGGGUUCAUCGCUUCAGACCCGGUGGCUGAUUUCGGCGGUGAGAUGCAAACUUUGGACUAAGACUUGACGCAGAGAAAUGAUUGAGCAGCACAUCACAUGCAGCUGUUGGGAUCAUGGAAAAGCGGGGGCGACGAAGCAUGUGUGACUGGUUGGUGGUGAUGUGUGCAUCCGGCUCAAGCUCUGGGGUUAAAACUUAGGGCUGACGUGAGUUGGUUAUACUUGACAGUUGUGACAUUUUUUGCGUCAUUACCUUGUUGAAGACAUUGCUCGGAUAUGUUUGGGUUGACUUUUUAGGGUGAAAACCUAGAUUCCGACCUUAAUGGUUGGAUUCGGUGACGGCGGCCCAUGAGCACCGCUUCCUUUCUGAAGGUGUUGCCGUUGAAAAACUUGCCGUUCAUGUCGAGUCAUGAGAUGGUUGGUGUGGAUAUGAUCAUUGUUACAGUUUGUUGAUCGCGGAUCUAAUCACUUUGGAGUUUUCUUUCUCUUCUUUUCACACCUACACAUAGCUUUUAUAUCAUAUACUUUGCUAGUUGUUGGCGUGUUUGUGUGUGUUAGUGUUGGCUGUGUGCAUUCUUAUUAUGCAGAGACAGGGUGUGUGCUUAUUCUGUCUGUAUUCUCUUGAUGCUUCAUUUUAAACUAAUAAAAUCCAUCCUUUCUCAAUUUUUUUUUCUUUUGUCCGUAGAUGUGUUCAUGUGUGCUCAAAGCACAAAAGACCUAAACGAUCUUUUCUAAAUGGGACAAAAAGAGUUGCCUCGUCGGGAGCUCACAAGUUUCUAGAAACAAACUACUAGAAACUAAGGCCAAAGUGGACGCCAAGCACGUUGCGUAAUGGCGGGCGCCAAGCACCUACGUGAUUUAAUAUCGAGAGAGUAAUCCCUUGUAUUGGCCGCUUAGCUAGGCCUUAGUUUCUUGUUUUUUUCUACGAACUUGUGAGCUCUCCUUAAUUAAUUAGACGAGGCAAAUCUUUUUGCCCAUUUAAAAAAAAUCAUCUAGGUCUUUUGUGUUUUGAGCACACUUGAACCCAUCUACGGAUUCAGAAUUAUUCAUAGGAGAAAUCUCUAUACCCCUUCAUAAUGAAGUGUAGGAUGGUCUUUUUAGAAAAUACAUUGUUGUCACCAAUAUGCGGCCUGUGUACACACCGCCCGUAUACGGACCUGCGUACGUGGCAUAAUCAAACCCUAUUUGGUAUCCACGGUGGCAUCUUUUUUUCUAUUUCUUUUAAUCUUCAGAAA